GGGGAGCUUGAAGUUCGGAGGGAUCGGUUCCUACAUAAUCAUUUGAGAAAAAGGAGGGUCACUACAGAUAUCUUUACCGUAAGCAGGUGGAGCAUGGCGGAGCUCCUCGAUCUGCCAGUUCAUCUCUUGGAACCUUUGAUCCAGAAGAUCCUCUCGAUCACAAAUCUCGUGGGUCUUCUGGCAGAAUAGUGGUAGGGACC
This 200-nucleotide long non-coding RNA is filed under the name Elaeis guineensis (African oil palm). RNAcentral describes it as "long non-coding RNA (EGUI_LNC059342)". Lineage: Eukaryota; Viridiplantae; Streptophyta; Magnoliopsida; Arecales; Arecaceae. The record is from RNAcentral.